AAGCCAUGAUGAGGACACUCUAAGACAAGGUAUUGGAAACGUUCCAUACAUCUAGAGAAUGAUUCAUUGCAUCUUUGGUGAAACUGAAAAAUGUCAUUCCUAAGCUU
This 107-nucleotide small nucleolar RNA is filed under the name Cephalotus follicularis. RNAcentral's name for it is "Plant small nucleolar RNA R71". It matches the Rfam family "Plant small nucleolar RNA R71". From Rfam's summary of the family: R71 is a member of the C/D box family of snoRNAs containing the C (UGAUGA) and D (CUGA) box motifs. Multiple nearly identical copies of this snoRNA have been identified in Arabidopsis, and it is thought to function as a 2'-O-ribose methylation guide for 18S ribosomal RNA. The record is from Rfam by way of RNAcentral. Lineage: Eukaryota; Viridiplantae; Streptophyta; Magnoliopsida; Oxalidales; Cephalotaceae.